This 534-nucleotide ribosomal RNA is filed under the name Pelophylax nigromaculatus (dark-spotted frog). Its description in RNAcentral is "partial 16S ribosomal RNA". It matches the Rfam family "Bacterial large subunit ribosomal RNA", at positions 1849 to 2597 of the family's 2925-position model. The record is from RNAcentral. Lineage: Eukaryota; Metazoa; Chordata; Amphibia; Anura; Ranidae.
GAGGUCCAGCCUGCCCAGUGACAUAGUUUAACGGCCGCGGUACCCUAACCGUGCGAAGGUAGCAUAAUCACUUGUUCUUUAAAUAGGGACUCGUAUCAACGGCAUCACGAGGGCUAUACUGUCUCCUUUCUCCAAUCAAUGAAACUGAUCUCCCCGUGAAGAAGCGGGGAUUAACCUAUAAGACGAGAAGACCCCAUGGAGCUUCAAACUCAACAUAUACCUCUACGCACUUAAACCACUUUAGCCCAAGAGACCUCUAUGUUAGUUUUGGGUUGGGGGGACCGCGGAGUAAAAAUUAACCUCCACGACAAACGGGCUUUAUGCCCUUAUCCACGAACUACAACUCUAAGAAUCAAUAAACUGAUGUUUAUGACCCGAUUAUUCGAUCAACGAACCAAGUUACCCUGGGGAUAACAGCGCAAUCUACUUCAAGAGCCCCUAUCGACAAGUAGGUUUACGACCUCGAUGUUGGAUCAGGGUAUCCUAGUGGUGCAGCCGCUACUAAUGGUUCGUUUGUUCAACGAUUAAAACCCU